Molecule: ribosomal RNA, 411 nt
Filed under: uncultured bacterium
Lineage: Bacteria
Description: bacterial SSU rRNA
Rfam family: Bacterial small subunit ribosomal RNA
Source: RNAcentral
UAUUGGUCAAUGGCCGGAAGGCUGAACCAGCCGAGUCGCGUGAGGGAAUAAGGCCCUACGGGACGUAAACCUCUUUUGUCAGGGAGCAAGGACGUCCAAGAGGGGACGGAAGGAGAGUACCGGAAGAAAAAGCAUCGGCUAACUCCGUGCCAGCAGCCGCGGUAAUACGGAGGAUGCGAGCGUUAUCCGGAUUUAUUGGGUUUAAAGGGUGCGUAGGCGGCCUGCCAAGUCAGCGGUAAAAUUGCGGGGCUCAACCCCGUAGAGCCGUUGAAACUGCCGGGCUCGAGUGGGCGAGAAGUAUGCGGAAUGCGUGGUGUAGCGGUGAAAUGCAUAGAUAUCACGCAGAACCCCGAUUGCGAAGGCAGCAUACCGGCGCCCUACUGACGCUGAGGCACGAAAGUGCGGGGAUCA